GAGGAAUAUUGGUCAAUGGGCGAAAGCCUGAACCAGCCAUGCCGCGUGCAGGAAGAAUGUCCUAUGGAUUGUAAACUGCUUUUAUUUGGGAAUAAACCCCUCUACGUGUAGAGGGCUGAAGGUACCAAAUGAAUAAGCACCGGCUAACUCCGUGCCAGCAGCCGCGGUAAUACGGAGGGUGCAAGCGUUAUCCGGAAUUAUUGGGUUUAAAGGGUCCGCAGGCGGACAUAUAAGUCAGUGGUGAAAGCCUACAGCUUAACUGUAGAACUGCCAUUGAUACUGUAUGUCUUGAAUUUGAUCGAAGUGGGCGGAAUGUGUAAUGUAGCGGUGAAAUGCUUAGAUAUUACACAGAACACCGAUAGCGAAGGCAGCUCACUAGGUUAUAAUUGACGCUCAUGGACGAAAGCGUGGGGAGCGAACAGG
Molecule: ribosomal RNA, 423 nt
Filed under: uncultured bacterium
Lineage: Bacteria
Description: bacterial SSU rRNA
Rfam family: Bacterial small subunit ribosomal RNA
Source: RNAcentral